GACGAGAACUGACGAGGUUAUGGCUAUAUAAAUGUCGGAGAGCCCUCACCCCUCGUUCACCUCUCAAAACACCCCUGAUAUCGCUAGUGUAACAUCAACCUAAAGUCACUAUCUCUACGCCGUCCGCUGCCAGCCGGAAAUCGCCGCCGCCGCCGUCCAGUCACCAAUCAACCCCAGAUUUACACCCUAGAAUCCCCUCUUUGUCCUCUUUCCAACGCCCCAAGUAUCAACCUUCGAGUCACACCCCUUUGUCUCAAAUCUUCGAUCAAAGGGACAACUAUUCUGCCGUCCACAGCGGAGCCGGUCUCCAAAUAACCCCAAAUUUACACCACCAUAUCCUCUCACCCUCAUUUCUCUAAAUCCCUAGGCCCUGUCCCUCAAAUCUCAGUAGGAAGUCUCGAAAAGUCUGAAAAAUCCUAAAAAAUUCCCUAAAAUUUCCAUAUUCCCUGAGGUUUAGAGUUAUGAAAAUAUCUGAAAGUUUGAAUUUUAAGCUCCAAAAGCUAGAUCUGCAAAUUUAGAGUUGGAAAGCUCUUUUAGACCCAACACCUUCAAAAAAUUCCCAAAAAUACUGUGUUAUUCAAGUUUUUCCCUCAGAUUAGUUUCAAUUUCCAGAUGUUAAUUUGAAUGUCUAGCCUAAAUAAGAUAAGAAUGAUCUGAACUGCAUGUGUUUGUGAUGUUAAAACUUCAGAAGUUUCAUGGAUUCAAUUUCGAGUGUUUUUGGGUUCAAUCAAAGGCUAUUUUUGGUUAUGUUGGGUUGAUGCAAGUUUGGCUUCCAAAUUAGUCUUGCUGCUGUGUUUUUACUGUGAGUUUCAACUACUAUACUGCUGAAUCACUGCUGGCCUCUUCCUUUGUUUCAUUGUAAUUCCAGGUACAUAUAUAAACUUGACUUGGUGAAGCUUUUUAGUAAAAAUGAAAUGAAUAGUGUCCUGCACUUUCUCCUUGAACUGUAAUUGUUUGGACUGCUAUAUUUAAUGGUCAAAUGAACCUUAAAUGAUAUGUAAUAGGUUAAUGUGGUUUAAUUUUGGUUUGUACAUACAUAAACUUGGACUGUAUAACUUGGAGUGGACUGUUUUCGAGUCUAUUUAAUUGUUUUGAAUUAAUUGUAAGCCAUUUGACUGCUGUAUGUAAUGGUUAGAUCUAGACUACUAUAGUAGGUCAUGACUGAUUCAUUCCAGGUUUCCUUCACUUGUAUACAAAUGUGAACCUGUUCUAGAAGCUGUAGUUUGAUAUAUUGGGAUAGUAGUAAAAAUAACUAUCAUUGUAGUCUUAGUAGUUGAAUGAGGACAUGGCAUUUCAUUGUGUUGAUUUGAACGGGCAUGCUGGUUUUGAACCAGGAAAUCUACGCUUAUACAUAUUGAGUUUGCAUGAAUUUAAUAUCUCACCAUUGUCAAUGACUAUUCUGGUUCGAUCAUUGCCCUCCAUACUUGUUCGCAUUGAUUUAUUGUAGCCUUUACUAAACAGAAAGGCCCAGUGUGCUACUUUAAAUUUUUUUAAUCGAAAGGUUGAAAUUAAGCCUGAAGCCCAGCUUACUGCUUUUAUAUUGGGCUCGUCUGAGGCCCAAGGAUGCAUAGGAUCUCAAUCUACUCACUAAAUAUUGGGUAUGAUGGCAUUGAAAUAAAAUUGAGCUACAAGUUUGGGCUUUCGAGUUAGGUAGCGAAUUCGAAUUAAGUGGUUUCAUCCUUUUUAUUGAAUUCAUACUUGAAUUUGGAGCCCGAAUUCUAUAAUUGCUAUUGACUAGGUCCUUUUAGAGACACACUAUAGAAAAUCCUAAUUUGCUUUAGACUAGCCUUUAAAUAAUAAAAUGCGGUGUGCCGCGCCAAACGAAACCCAUGAAUUGCGUGGCCCUCUUUAAAUGCUCCUAUUAAUGUGCUUAGAAAUUUGGGACAUGUCGUUUAGUGAACUUCAUGGCUUCCCGCAAAGAUAAUAAUAUGUUAGUCGCUUUAGGCGUGUCUUUUUAAUAAUUUUACCUUCCUAAAUAUGGGUGUGCAUUUCAUGUGACCCAAAUCCAAAUNNNNNNNNNNNNNNNNNNNNNNNNNNNNNNNNNNNNNNNNNNNNNNNNNNNNNNNNNNNNNNNNNNNNNNNNNNNNNNNNNNNNNNNNNNNNNNNNNNNNNNNNNNNNNNNNNNNNNNNNNNNNNNNNNNNNNNNNNNNAUGUUUCGGAUCCGGGUGCAUUUCAUGUGACGCGAUCCAAAGACGUGUUUUAAAUGACGUUCACAUUCCCAAAAAUUCAAUUAAAAGCGGUAAAUAAUUUAAAAUUGCACUAUAGGAUGAACGUGUAUAAAAAAUCAGAAUUGUAGCCAAUUAUAUUAGUUUAAGCGACCGUGCUAGAACCACGGGAUCUGAGGGUGCCUAACACCUUCCCUCGGGUCAAUACAAUUUCUUACUUAGAACUUCUGGUUCGCAGACUCCAUUCGGGCAGUUGAAAAUUUCCUCGAUUUGGGAUUCAAAACAAAUCGGUGACUUGGGACACCAAAAGCCAAGCCUAUCCCAAGCGGCGACUCUAAAUGAAUAAAUAUAAUCCCAAUUUGAAUGAUGUCACAUUAAUUGGAAAAAAUCCCUUAUACAUUUAUCAUCCGGGUUAGCUGUGUAAACAGGAGGUGUGAUAACUCUGGCGACUCCGCUGGGGAAUGAACCCAGAAUCUCUGGUUCAAGAUUCAAGAAUUCGAGCUUAGAAUAACUCUUAUAUUUGGCUUAUCUGAUUUUAUUACAUGUUCAUGCUAUAUGUGCUAAAAUUUUUACCUCUUUGAUAUUGGAUUAAUUGUAUAUAUAAAAUGUUACGAAUCUCUUCUUCUCUCUGAGUCUUCUAAAUCAUGGAGAAGGGUGCACUUCGUGUGACUUCUCUUCUGUUUAGAGUCUUUUCCCAUUCAAAAUGAGGUUAUGAUAAUUUGCUAAGCCGACGGAACUUCUUUAUCCCUGGUACGUUGCCCUCCCCUCCCCCCCGGGCUCGAGUUGUCCGCUCGAGUAAGCCUGGUCUAGAACAAUAAACCCAGGGUUUAAACCUAGUAUAACAAAACCUCAUGCCAGAUCUCUAGUAGGAACAUUUGUUUGUAUCAUGUGCAUUUGACUUAGGGGACUCAACACAGGGGUUGGGUUCGUCUAGGACAAGUGACCCCAAAUGAAAAACCAUCCUGAUGCAUCUUACGUGCUACCUGUGCAUUUAUUUGCCUUAGAUUUGCAUGUUGACCGGCUUGCAAAUAAGGAGAGAAAAUUCAGAAAAUAGCAGUAAACAAAGAGAAAAAAGACAAAGAAAAGAACAAGAAAAAAAAAACAAAAAGACUUUUUAAAAUUUGGUUUGACAAACUAUUUUGGCUGAACUACGCUGGUUUGAUUCUCACUAGAUGUGAGAUAUAUAGGCAACCCCUCAUCGAGUCCAACCUCCCUUUUGCACAAACAAACAAAAUGCCAAAGUUUUACUUGUUGACCUAAAUAAAUCGGGUAAUGCCGUUCUUGUUAAAACAAGCCGAAUGUCCCCAAAAGGGCUCCAGAAGGCUGUUUUUGCAAGAACAGCCGCCCUGAGUCAUUUUUAAAUAGUUUGUGGGCACAACCUUAAAAUCUUCCUUCUAGAAAUGCUGAAAGGCCGUAUCGGCAAAACCAAGUCCGUGUUUUUCUUAAUAAAGCAAUUUUUGCUAAAAUAGCCAUUUUUGUCUUUUAGGUCAAAGUAACUCAAUAAAUCCCCUUUAAAUAAAUGUGCCGGAUGAAUAAGAAAAACAAAUAGUCUAGCGUUUUUGUAAUCAUAGUUUUACUAAUGAAAAUUUGAAAAUCCUAAAAAUUUAUCUCCUUGCUUGUGCAUUUAUUUUCAUGAACUACGCUCGGUCUGAUUCAUGGGGGGAAUGAUACGUAGGCAAUCUUCAUAGGAUUCGACCGUAACCCUAAAAAACGAAAAAGAAAGGAAGCAAACCAAAAAGAGAAAUGGGAGGUGUGAAAAAGAAAAAAGAAAAGGAAAGACCUAAGAGAAAACUAAAAGAGGGAAGAAAACAAAAGAAGAACCAGAGAGGAAAAAAAACAAAAAAGAGAGAAAAGCAAGAAAAACAAAGAGGGGAAAUCAAAAAGGGAAUUGGAAUAAAAGCCGGGACGACACAUUCAACCAUUGCAAACAUGUAGACCUCUAAUUAAUUGUAUAGGUGCAUCACACCCCAAUGUGCAAUUCCCUAUCUACUAUCUGUCUCAAACUAAUCAUUUGUUGCUGUCGUAAUCCAGCUUAGGUUUUUAGAAACGGUGGUUGGGUUUUGGUAAGCUGGCAUCACAUCGGUAUUUUACCCGAUCAAAAGGAAGUGCACAAAUGUCGUCUCAAAUAAUCUUGCCGGCCAUUCCCAUCUCAGAAGAUAGCCCAAUUUCAGGUAUCCCGGCCUCAGAGUCUGCAGCAGCCGAGGAAAACAAGAUCCUACUCCUUAGGGUCAUGGAGAUGUAGGAUACAUGGACGAAUGGAAAAGAGCC
Molecule: long non-coding RNA, 4433 nt
Filed under: Nicotiana benthamiana
Lineage: Eukaryota; Viridiplantae; Streptophyta; Magnoliopsida; Solanales; Solanaceae
Description: long non-coding RNA (NBEN_LNC011514)
Source: RNAcentral